GACAGAGGGUGCAAGCGUUGUUCGGAAUUACUGGGCGUAAAGGGCUCGUAGGCGGCCAACUAAGUCAGACGUGAAAUCCCUCGGCUUAACCGGGGAACUGCGUCUGAUACUGGAUGGCUUGAGGUUGGGAGAGGGAUGCGGAAUUCCAGGUGUAGCGGUGAAAUGCGUAGAUAUCUGGAGGAACACCGGUGGCGAAGGCGGCAUCCUGGACCAAUUCUGACGCUGAGGAGCGAAAGCCAGGGGAGCAAACGGG
RNAcentral lists this ribosomal RNA (253 nucleotides) under uncultured bacterium. RNAcentral's name for it is "partial 16S ribosomal RNA". It matches the Rfam family "Bacterial small subunit ribosomal RNA", at positions 524 to 776 of the family's 1533-position model. The record is from RNAcentral.